This is a non-coding RNA of Equus caballus (horse), 1567 nucleotides long. Lineage: Eukaryota; Metazoa; Chordata; Mammalia; Perissodactyla; Equidae. The record is from RefSeq and is a predicted model, not a curated record.
CAUUGCCCAAAGCUAUGAGUCAUCCCUAACUCUUCCUUCUCCUGCCCACAGCUAAUCAAUCACUAAGUCCUAUAAAUUCCUUGCCUUACACAACUCUCAAAUCUGUUCCAUUUUAUUCACCCAAUAUCUUUUUAUGCUGCGCUUCUAUCAUUUCUUCCCUGCACCAGCCUCUGCCUCCAGUCUUGGCAUCUCCACAUAGCAUUCUCCACCUUUAAACCCCUCAGCAACAUCUCAUCAAAUGAGGAUGGAGCGCAAACCUCCUAACAUGACCAUAAGGCCCCUGCCUACCUCUCCACCUCAUCUCUCACUCUUCUCUUUUAUUUCUCUGAGGUCCACCUGGAAAAGCCAAGCUCUCUCAUCCCUAGCCUUGACAGUGGUGUUCCCUUCUGGAAGAAGCAUAAGGAGGCAGGUAAAGCCAUGUGAGCACACAGGGAGAAGGCAGCUGUGUAGAAGCCAGAAAGAGAGUCUCACCAGACACUGAUCCAGCCAGCACCUUGAUCUUGGACUUCCCAGCCUCCAGAACUGUGGUAAGUUGUUAUAGCAACCCAAGCUAACUGAGACAAUAUUCUUCAUGAAAGUAAAUGGAAAGCCACUAGUGGAGUUUGAACAGAAUGGGGACGUGAUCAUAUUUAUAUUUCAAAAAGAAAUGACUGUAGUUGGGAGAACCAACUGAGGUUGGGGGACAGAGAGUUGUUGUCAGAGAGGAUUCAGGUAGACCAGUUAGAAGAUUGUUUAUAGUGGCCCGGGGAAGAUCUGCAGCUUGGACUAUAGAAGAUGGAGAGAAAGGGAGGGAUUCAAGGGGAAUCUGGGAGACAGUAGUGACAGGCCCUGGAGAUGGACUAGCUGCGGGAGAUGAGAGAGAGGAGAGGUCAAGAAUGACGUUGCUGUUUCUGGCUUUGCAACUGGAUGUGCUGAGGCACCAUUUCCUGAACACUGCAAGAGAAACAGCUUGUAGGACACCAGGCUUUCAGAUACAGAGUUCUGAAAAAUUUGAGGGGGUUUGUCUAUUUCCAAAAGUAUCAAGUUGCACAUGCUUAAAAAAAAACAUAACGUUAACUUGCUUCAUUUUUCUUCUUCCACAUAAACUCGAUUUUUCUGCACAAUAUUCCCAGCGUGAGGAGAUGUAUGUGCUGUAGCUUUUGCUUUCAGGAAUGCUUCUUUGAAUAUUUGACCAUCAAAAACCAAUUUGAAGUCUCAUAAGAGAACAUCCUGUUCUGAACUUGCUGUACCCAAAAAAAGUGACAACAACACAUGGGCUGGCGUUACUGCCAUACAGUACAUCAGCAUCUUGCCAAGUUUGUUCUCCCACCUCAGACACAGCUCUGGCCAUUCUGAUGACAAGAUAAAAAGGAGAAUAAUAAGAAGAAUGACAUAAAGGAGAAUACGGUCAAACGGAGUAGCCGUUGCGAUUCAAUUCAAGCACGCCUCCUAUCACGAAGCAGAGGUGCUUAGAACAAUGAUACUUCUGGGAGGUAAAGGGUAUUUUGGUUUUUUAAAAGGAAUUUGUUUCCCAUUUAAAUCAGUUUUUAUUAUUCUUUCCCAUUAAAGUCAGUUUUUAUUACUAUUA